RNAcentral lists this ribosomal RNA (439 nucleotides) under uncultured bacterium. RNAcentral's name for it is "partial 16S ribosomal RNA". It matches the Rfam family "Bacterial small subunit ribosomal RNA", at positions 339 to 795 of the family's 1533-position model. The record is from RNAcentral.
CUACGGGUGGCUCCAGUGAGGAAUAUUGCACAAUGGGGGGAACCCUGAUGCAGCAACGCCGCGUGGAGGAUGACGCAUUUCGGUGUGUAAACUCCUUUUAUAUGUCAAGAAAAUGACGGUAGCAUAUGAAUAAGCACCGGCUAACUCCGUGCCAGCAGCCGCGGUAAUACGGAGGGUGCAAGCGUUACUCGGAAUCACUGGGCGUAAAGGACGCGUAGGCGGGUUGGGAAGUCAGGUGUGAAAUCCUACAGCUUAACUGUAGAACUGCACUUGAAACUUCUAAUCUAGAGUAUAGGAGGGGGAGAUGGAAUUAGUGGUGUAGGGGUAAAAUCCGUAGAUAUCACUAGGAAUACCUAAAGCGAAGGCGAUCUCCUGGAACAUUACUGACGCUAAGGCGUGAAAGCGUGGGGAGCAAACAGGAUUAGAUACCCCGGUAGUC